AAUCCCGUGAACCAUCGAGUCUUUGAACGCAAGUUGCGCCCGAAGCAUCCGGGCCGAGGGCACGCCUGCCUGGGCGUCACGCAUCGUGUCGCCCCCCCCGCCCCGCCCGCUCCGGGCGGGGCGCGGGGGCGGAGACUGGCCUCCCGUGCGCCUCCGUCGCGCGGCCGGCCC
This 171-nucleotide ribosomal RNA is filed under the name Hoverdenia speciosa. RNAcentral describes it as "5.8S ribosomal RNA". The stretch from base 1 to 79 matches the Rfam family "5.8S ribosomal RNA", at positions 78 to 154 of the family's 154-position model. The record is from RNAcentral. Lineage: Eukaryota; Viridiplantae; Streptophyta; Magnoliopsida; Lamiales; Acanthaceae.